RNAcentral lists this ribosomal RNA (95 nucleotides) under Dasyspora gregaria. RNAcentral describes it as "partial 28S ribosomal RNA". It matches the Rfam family "Eukaryotic large subunit ribosomal RNA", at positions 1 to 94 of the family's 3401-position model. Lineage: Eukaryota; Fungi; Basidiomycota; Pucciniomycetes; Pucciniales; Sphaerophragmiaceae. The record is from RNAcentral.
AAGACCUCAAAUCAGGUGGAAUUACCUGCUGAACUUAAGCAUAUCAAUAAGCAGAGGAAAAGAAACUAACAAGGAUUCCCCUAGUAAUGGCGAAU